RNAcentral lists this ribosomal RNA (433 nucleotides) under uncultured bacterium. RNAcentral's name for it is "bacterial SSU rRNA". It matches the Rfam family "Bacterial small subunit ribosomal RNA", at positions 44 to 528 of the family's 1533-position model. The record is from RNAcentral.
CGGCUAAACAUGCAGUCGAGCGCCCCGCAGGGGGAGCGGCAGACGGGUGAGUAACGCGUGGGAAUCUGCCCAUCACUACGGAACAACUCCGGGAAACUGGAGCUAAUACCGUAUACGUCCUUCGGGAGAAAGAUUUAUCGGUGAUGGAUGAGCCCGCGUUGGAUUAGCUAGUUGGUGGGGUAAUGGCCUACCAAGGCGACGAUCCAUAGCUGGUCUGAGAGGAUGAUCAGCCACACUGGGACUGAGACACGGCCCAGACUCCUACGGGAGGCAGCAGUGGGGAAUAUUGGACAAUGGGCGCAAGCCUGAUCCAGCCAUGCCGCGUGAGUGAUGAAGGCCCUAGGGUUGUAAAGCUCUUUCAACGGUGAAGAUAAUGACGGUAACCGUAAAAAAAGCCCCGGCUAACUUCGUGCCAGCGCCCCCGGGAAAAUAA